Long non-coding RNA from Mus musculus (house mouse), 1615 nucleotides. RefSeq annotates it as predicted gene, 42109. The record is from RefSeq and is a predicted model, not a curated record. Lineage: Eukaryota; Metazoa; Chordata; Mammalia; Rodentia; Muridae. The transcript has 3 exons.
UACUUCUGCUUUUCCAUUUGCAGUUCCUCGUCCUGAGCUUGGCACAAGUCCUCUUUAAGACUAAUGGCUUGGUCACAAGAUAAAGGUGGAGAGAUGUAAGUGCCAUCGACUCGCAGGUCAUCAAAGCACGGCUUUCUGAAGGCAUAGGAGUCGUCGCAGCAGUGGCCCACUCCUGCAUUGACAGGCUUCCCACCGUGUCUUCUGCACAGCUCUCCAAGAAUCAGCUUUGUCUUGUCCGGAAGAGAAUUAAAGGAAGAGGGAACGCAUGCAGGAGCUGCAGUGUUGCCUGUCUUACCAGGCUACCGAGAGAGUCAACUGGAUGCCACGACUGGGAACACCACCAAGCCUACAGCCAAAACGUCUGCAGUAGAAGCAGCAGACAAAGCUAAGAAGUGAAUCAACAUAAUUCAAAGCACAAACCCUGUGAGUCGGUCCAAGAAUUUGUUUGAAAGGAGACCAAGAAAUUAAACCAUCGCUUUUUCUCAGAGCCAAUUAACUAAAAGGAAGAUCAAACACAUAAGAAAAAGGACAUACAAUUACAUAAUUGAUGGCGUUUUUAUUUCAAGCAAGAGUAUCAUCUAUGGCUCUAUCUCCCUUAAUGAAAAAAUGCUAACAAGCGAGAUCUUCUGAAGAAGAAUCCCUUUAAACACACGAGACAACGUAAACAGCCAAUCCCCAGUCUAAACACUGAAUUAGUGCAUACUGAAUCAGUGAUGCUCCAGGAAAAAUUCAGGGCUCCCCUGAGCCUCUGGCCACACCAUUAACCAAUCAACUAACCAACCAACCGAGACAAAGCUUUGCUUAGAACAUGUUUCUGGGUGAGGGGCUGUUGCUUUCUCAAUGUUGGACUCAUAGCCAAUAGCAAGACAACACUGUGUAGGGCAGAAACUCUCUACCUAAUCUGCAUAUUUUCCAUAUAAGAUGAUAUGCAUCUUGUACUUAAGACAGCAUUGCAUCGCUGCACCUGGAACAACCUUGAGCAUCAGAAUUACCAACAAAAAGGUUGCCAUUAAGUAAGAAAAAGAACAUUUGAUUCAUUUACAGUGUGAGAGCUGAAAAGAAUCCAGAACAGAGCCUUGUUGGACCUCGCGGGGCUCAAAGUACAUGCAUCAAGUGGUUCAAAUUUUUGGCUGCUCUGAGCAUGUGUUAGCCGGGGAACAACACUGGGAGUGCUGCGAAUGUUGGUUUUGCAUCUGGAAAAGCAGAUGAGUUCAGAACUAAAGACUCCACGAGCAAUGAGGAUUUGCUGGGAAAACAUUAAGACUGGCAGAUGUGGAAUGGAAAAGCAUUCUGUAUUUUCUGUCCCCACCUCAACCUGAGGUUUAAUGAACAAGCUCAAAUACCUCAAAUAACACAUAGCCUCAAUCCUAUCUGGAAAUGUCAAAGGGGCUGGAGAGAUGUUUAAGGGCACUGGCUUCUCCUCUAGAGGCCCAGGAUUCGAUUCUCAGUACCCACUUGGCAGCUAACAAUCAUCUGUAACUCCAGUCCCAGGGGAUCCGACCCCUCUCUGGCCCUCUUGGGUGCGGUACAUACAUGGGCACAGACACAAACAGGAAAAACACGCACACACACACAAUAUAAAAAUAAAUCUAUUUUUAAAAUGUUAGACAUUUUA